Long non-coding RNA from Hordeum vulgare subsp. vulgare (domesticated barley), 175 nucleotides. RefSeq lists it as uncharacterized. Lineage: Eukaryota; Viridiplantae; Streptophyta; Magnoliopsida; Poales; Poaceae. The record is from RefSeq and is a predicted model, not a curated record. The transcript is spliced from 2 exons.
UCUGGUGUAUUUGGCUGCAAUCGAUAAGUUUGAUGCCAUGUUAUCCAAAAGCAACACUUAUGCUCUAGAAGUGAGUAAAGUUUGACAGGUGUUAUCACCGAGAGAGGGUAAGUUGGCAUGGGAAGAAGAAGAACAUGAAGAAUAUGAAGAAGAAUAAGAAUAUGAAGAAUGUGAA